AGAAUCAACGCUGGCGGCGUGCCUAACACAUGCAAGUCGAACGAGAAAGUGGAGCAAUCCAUGAGUAAAGUGGCGACCGGGUGAGUAACACGUGACUAACCUACCCUAGAGUGGGGGAUAACCUCGGGAAAACCGGGGCUAAUACCGCAUAACAUCUUCGGGAUGAGAAGCUGAAGAUCAAAGGAGCAAUUCGCUUUUGGAGGGGGUCGCGGCUGAUUAGCUAGUUGGCGGGUAACGCCCACAAGGCUUUGAUCGGUA
RNAcentral lists this ribosomal RNA (258 nucleotides) under uncultured bacterium. Its description in RNAcentral is "partial small subunit ribosomal RNA". It matches the Rfam family "Bacterial small subunit ribosomal RNA", at positions 26 to 285 of the family's 1533-position model. The record is from RNAcentral.